AACGUGGGCCCCUUACCGGGGUUGCGGACAGUGUCUGGUGGGUAGUUUGACUGGGGCGGUCUCCUCCUAAAGAGUAACGGAGGAGCACGAAGGUUGGCUAAUCCUGGUCGGACAUCAGGAGGUUAGUGCAAUGGCAUAAGCCAGCUUGACUGCGAGCGUGACGGCGCGAGCAGGUGCGAAAGCAGGUCAUAGUGAUCCGGUGGUUCUGAAUGGAAGGGCCAUCGCUCAACGGAUAAAAGGUACUCCGGGGAUAACAGGCUGAUACCGCCCAAGAGUUCAUAUCGACGGCGGUGUUUGGCACCUCGAUGUCGGCUCAUCACAUCCUGGGGCUGAAGUAGGUCCCAAGGGUAUGGCUGUUCGCCAUUUAAAGUGGUACGCGAGCUGGGUUUAGAACGUCGUGAGACAGUUCGGUCCCUAUCUGCCGUGGGCGCUGGAGAACUGAGGGGGGCUGCUCCUAGUACGAGAGGACCGGAGUGGACGCAUCACUGGUGUUCGGGUUGUCAUGCCAAUGGCACUGCCCGGUAGCUAAAUGCGGAAGAGAUAAGUGCUGAAAGCAUCUAAGCACGAAACUUGCCCCGAGAUGAGUUCUCCCUGACUCCUUGAGAGUCCUGAAGGAACGUUGAAGACGACGACGUUGAUAGGCCGGGUGUGUAAGCGCAGCGAUGCGUUGAGCUAACCGGUACUAAUGAACCGUGAGGCUUAACCUU
This 707-nucleotide ribosomal RNA is filed under the name Escherichia coli. RNAcentral describes it as "partial 23S ribosomal RNA". It matches the Rfam family "Bacterial large subunit ribosomal RNA", at positions 2224 to 2925 of the family's 2925-position model. The record is from RNAcentral. Lineage: Bacteria; Pseudomonadati; Pseudomonadota; Gammaproteobacteria; Enterobacterales; Enterobacteriaceae.